AACAGGCGUUAUGUUCAGCUUUAUCUGUCAAAAAAGUUGUUAAUAUGACGUACGGUGUGAAGAUAUGUUUUUAAAGAUAAGACUAAACUACUUUAAAUUAAAGUGCAACAAAGAAAUUCACAUAGUUUUAAUUUUCACAUUUAUAUAGAGGGUUCUGCGAGAAAAGGUAAUGAGAUGCUUUUUGGAUUAUUUUCUUGUAUUUCAGCUGCAUCAUCUGAUAUCACAUUGAAACCUGCGGGAUGGAUGGAAUGAAAAAGCCAAAAUUAGCGGCAUUUUUUAUCGUUAAUACCACGAAUGAAUGUAUCGGGGCAUAUGGAAAUUCGCCAAAGAGUAUGAGCCAAACUUCAUACAACAAACCAAGCCAACAGAUAUGUAAAAGGAGCGCAUAUAAUUAUUAUCGACGCAUGAAAACCAAUGCAUAGACGAUUCAUUUAAAUUUCCUGAUGAAAGAUAUGAUGUCAUUCAGAUUAGAUAAUGUUGUUUGUGUACUUCUUGAGGUUAAGGUGAUGAUCCAACGAAGCGUCGUCUGAUACAAUCGUCCGUCAUUUGGUUGCAUGGAAAGUGCUGUUAUCUGGAGUCUGAAAUUUGUUUGGUGUGAAACCUUUUUGGAUGUUGUCCUAAUGGAGUUAUGGAGGAUGUUUAUAAAGGUACGAGAUAAACAUUAUAAUGGCAAGCAAUUCUUAACGGCAAUAACUGUAAGUCCUUUUUGAGCAACAUAGGAUGACCCAUACUCUUUAUUAGUGGCUUAGAAUUAUUGCAGACGAAAAUAUAUCAGGGAUAUGUUCAGCAAGACUCUCGGAUAAGAAUUUUGCUUGGACUAUGAAACAUAUUUUGGCGAUCUAAUCGAGGUACAAUUGGGAUUCCAGCCAUUUCAUUUUACAUUGUGACAUUUUUUUCAAGUCUAGAGAUCAAGAUUAUGUUUCACUUUAAACCGUGAUAUGAUUUUUAAUCGAGUGAGGACCGUUGAAUUGAAUGUGUUUUGUCUAUAGAGGUUUAAUUUAAACUAGCCAUUCAACGUAAAGAGUGAAGACAGAUAGUCGUAAUACUGGGUCCUUUUCCUCAAGGCACUUAGGUUUUGUUAAAGAUAUCUGCUGAUUGAACGACGACAAACACUGCAAUCAACAGAACGGAUCCAUUCCUAACGCAACUCCUCACUCCGUAAUUUUGUUACUUCUUGAACUUAUUUACUGGUUAUAUUCUUGAACUGGUUUAACCUAUACAGUGAUAUUUUUCUUGCUUACUCCAGUGCUGAAUUUUUUUGUUUAGAUCUUCAAUGUAACCGCGGUUUGAGAGACAUUGAAAAAAAUUUAUCUCCUCCAGCUGUAAGCCAUCGAGUCGUUUUUAUUCAGUAGAUUUAUCCUUUUUUUUUCUUGGAAAACUUGCGUCAUGGGCUACAAUUGUAUUGUUGCUAGUUUUCGUCUUCGGACACAUUCGUCGUAUUUUCCCGUCGUCGUUCAUCGUCGUAAACCAACGGCGGUGUCACCAAUUUUAAGCCAUUGACAGGUCAAAAUAACGGCGGACAAUGAUGCGCAAUGUGAUAUUUAUGGGGUACGUAGACUGGCUCCGACUUGAGCAGUGAUGCAAAUCUUGGUGAUUUAUGGUGACAAAAACUUGCAAGUUUUUUAUCAUUUACAACAAUAAGUCGAUAUAAUAUUCACAGAUAGCUAUAUAUGAUCUAAUUUCAGCCACGACAGUUCAGCUAGACAUGAUAUUUCAAAAGUCAGGCGACUCUUUUCUAGGUUUAACUACUCUGGGUGGUACCAGUUUGUACAGAAUCAGGUUUCCAGAUAAAGCGUUUUAGAUAACCACUUGUAGCAGACUUUCAGAACAGCAGAAACACGGUUAAACGUGAACUUCGAGAAUUUUCUUAUGUAGGAAAAACAACUAUUUCUGUUAGGGAUGUUGAAGGUAAAGUUGCUCCUUAAUACUUUGAUUCAGAUGGGAUACAUGAUCUAUAUAUCGAUAUGGUUGUUGGUGGAUAUCCAGGUGAGAUUGGAUACAUCAUCUAUAUAUCGGUAUGGUUGUUGGUGGAUAUCCAGGGGAGUUUUGACUCAUGACGUAGGAAAUUGUCGACGUGGGAUCGGUCACGUAAAUGGAUGAUGGCAUGAUAAGAUCACGUCUUUUCCAAAUUCAUCUUCUCCAGAAUUAUGUUGCAGUAGAACUCCCUUGCUUGAAUUAUAUCAACAUAUUGUACAUUAGUGUGCUUGUUAGUUGAUGUCCAGAAUGAUUUUGAUGAUUUAGUACAAUACGUAGAAUUUGUUGGCAAACAAUGAAUAUGACAAUAUUAAGAGCUUGGAAAUUUACGUUUCUUAGAAGUAUAACUUUCUUGGAAAGUUAAAUUUCUUGGAAGUAUAACUUUCUUGAGGAAUGUGUAUGCCACACAUUGUCGUUGCUAGUUUAUUCCAGAGCAUUAAUGCCGCACGAAAAAUUGUUUGGCAGUGGGUGAAUUUGGCAAGGAAUUUCAGUACAAGGAAACAGAGAUGAAAUUUGCUACGGGUGAGAUGUUACGUUGUGUUCCAGGAAUUGGUGUUCAAGCUAUCCACAUGUGAACAGUUUCAGUUACCAAGGUUUUGGGAAUUAGAACUGCAGCAAUUAUUGGCAACAUCGCUUAAGGAAACAAGUUCUUCCAAAGUAAUGCUAUCCAGAAUGACGAAGCGGGAAUUGAAGGUAUUUCACCAGGGACAAUCUUAUUCUCCAUAUCAGCCUCAGUACUCCGACGUUUAAAAAUAGCGGAAAGACGGAACGACGUUGCACGCGGU
Long non-coding RNA from Dendronephthya gigantea, 2759 nucleotides. RefSeq lists it as uncharacterized. The record is from RefSeq and is a predicted model, not a curated record. NCBI's taxonomy places the organism in Eukaryota, Metazoa, Cnidaria, Anthozoa, Malacalcyonacea, Nephtheidae. The transcript has 3 exons.